AGUCGUGGGGUACGCAGUGUAGCAAUACAUGGGCGACGACCGGCAAACGGGUGCGUAACACGUACGCAACUUACCCACUACUGGUGAAUAGCCCAGGGAAACUUGGAUUAAUACACCAUAUUAUAUAGGAUUGGCAUCAAUUUUAUAUCAAAGCUUCGGCGGUAGCGGAUGGGCGUGCGGUUGAUUAGAUAGUUGGCGGGGUAACGGCCCACCAAGUCUACGAUCAAUAGCUGAUGUGAGAGCAUGAUCAGCCACACGGGCACUGAGACACGGGCCCGACUCCUACGGGAGGCAGCAGUAAGGAAUAUUGGGCAAUGGACGCAAGUCUGACCCAGCCAUGCCGCGUGAAGGAUGACGGUCCUCUGGAUUGUAAACUUCUUUUAUCUGGGACGAAAACCACCUUUUCUAGGGUGCUUGACAGUACCAGGUGAAUAAGCACCGGCUAACUCCGUGCCAGCAGCCGCGGUAAUACGGAGGGUGCAAGCGUUAUCCGGAUUCACUGGGUUUAAAGGGUGCGUAGGCGGGCAGGUAAGUCAGUGGUGAAAUCUUCGAGCUUAACUCGGAAACUGCCGUUGAUACUAUCUGUCUUGAAUAUAGUGGAGGUAAGCGGAAUAUGUCAUGUAGCGGUGAAAUGCUUAGAGAUGACAUAGAACACCAAUUGCGAAGGCAGCUUGCUACACUAUUAUUGACGCUGAGGCACGAAAGCGUGGGGAUCAAACAGGAUUAGAUACCCUGGUAGUCCACGCCCUAAACGAUGAUUACUCGGCAUCAGCGAUACACUGUUGGUGUCUAAGCUAAAGCAUUAAGUAAUCCACCUGGGAAGUACGAU
Molecule: ribosomal RNA, 829 nt
Filed under: uncultured bacterium
Lineage: Bacteria
Description: bacterial SSU rRNA
Rfam family: Bacterial small subunit ribosomal RNA
Source: RNAcentral